GAUGAACGCUGGCGGCGUGCCUAAUACAUGCAAGUCGAGCGAACGGACGAGAAGCUUGCUUCUCUGAUGUUAGCGGCGGACGGGUGAGUAACACGUGUAUAACCUACCUAUAAGACUGGUAUAACUUCGAGAAACCGGAGCUAAUACCGUAUAAUAUUUUGAACCGCAUGGUUCAAAAGUGAAAGACGGUCUUGCUGUCACUUAUAGAUGGAUCUGCGCUGGAUUAGCUAGUUGGUAAGUUAACGGCUUACGACGGCAACGAUGCAUAACCGACGUGACAGGGUGAUCGCCCACACUGGAGCUGAGACACGGUCAAGGCGCCUACGGGAGGCACCAGUAGGGAACAUUACGCAGCGGGCGGAAGCAUGACGGAGCAAGGCGGCGCGAGUGAUGAAGGUCUUCGGAUCGUAAAACCCUGUUAUUAGUGAUGAACAUCUGUGUAAGUAAAUGUGCCCAUAUUGACGGUAACUAGUCAGAAAGCAACGGCUAACUACGUG
Molecule: ribosomal RNA, 497 nt
Filed under: uncultured bacterium
Lineage: Bacteria
Description: partial 16S ribosomal RNA
Rfam family: Bacterial small subunit ribosomal RNA
Source: RNAcentral